CGCACAUAUUCGAUUCACGCUGUUACAACGUGCGAGCCAACGGACUAAAACAGCGGAGACGUUAACCCGCUCACUCAUGUCAGGACAUGAAGUGCAAGCAGAAGCAUAACUUUCUCUCCGGCUGACCAGGCAGGAUCCAUUUUAAGACGGCAGAGAGGUAAUGGAAAACAUUGAAAGCUAGCCAUAGAGAAGACAACACAGUCAGCUGAUAUGGUCAGAAGUUAGUCCUGGACGGACUUGGUCUGUCCCAUAGGAAAGGGGGCAUGGCUUGCAAAACAAGUCUCUCUGGGGAGAGAGAGGAGGCCUCCACCUCCAAAAUGAGUGUCCUUACAGACCACCCCACACCUAUUGAAGCUAAGAGGUUGAAGCAGCAGCGAGAAGAGAUAAGAUCAGUCUCACCUGUGCCCAGCUGUGUGUCCAUGAAGAGUGAUCGGUCUAUGACGC
This is a non-coding RNA of Salvelinus sp. IW2-2015, 444 nucleotides long. The record is from RefSeq and is a predicted model, not a curated record. NCBI's taxonomy places the organism in Eukaryota, Metazoa, Chordata, Actinopteri, Salmoniformes, Salmonidae.